Long non-coding RNA from Equus caballus (horse), 3532 nucleotides. NCBI's taxonomy places the organism in Eukaryota, Metazoa, Chordata, Mammalia, Perissodactyla, Equidae. The record is from Ensembl.
CCUUUAUCCUGGGCGUAACAGAAGGACGGAUGGAUGAGUUGUGGCUGCCCAGUCUCUGUCGUGCGCAGGUGGUCCCCGCCCGGAAAGGGGGAACCUGCAGUGUCCGCUCACAGCCAGCCAGGUCUGGGGCCUCACCUCUUUGAGCCUCGGUUUCCCUAUCUGCAUGUGAGCACUGGAGUAUGGGUGGAGUGGGGAGGCCCUAUUUUCUUAAUACUGCCAAGCCUCGAUGUCCGUAUCUUUGAAAUGGGCUUAUAAACCCACUUGAAAGUGAUGUCCUGGGGGUUAAAUGAGAUAGUACCUGUAACAUAAAGUGACUGGCGCGAAGAAACUCCAUUGUCAUUAAUAUUAUUAUUGUCUCUACCGAAUCAAAAUUAUAAUACAAAUAAGAUAAUAACAAUAAUUAUGUCUUUUCCUGGGUCUUGCUGUUAUAAAAACAGCUACAAUAAUAACUAACCUUUACUGAGCACACAUUUUGUGCCAAACAUUCAUUAAUCCUCUUAUGUAACCCCCACUCUGGCCUCUGAGGUUGUUACUGGGGCAUGCCCACUGUACAGACUGGGCAACCGAAUCUCCCAGAGGUUAACUAACUUGCUGAAGGUCAAGUAGCUGGUAAGUGCAGAGUAAGGAUUGUGCCAAAGCCCUUUAUGGCACUUUUUAUAGCUCCUGCCUUUUCCACCUUUGGACGAAUGUAUUGAUGAAAGGUCAUCCUUUCGUAUAACUGAAAUAGGCCUCCCUCUGAAAAUGUCUACCCAUUGGUCCAAGCUCAAAAAACCAAAGGAUGAAAAUCUAGAGAGAAUGAUGGGAAGGAGCUUAGAUUCCUGGGAGAACAGAACACGAGGACUCCAGUUAUAGACAAAGGAUCAAGAGAAAAUCAAAGAAGACAAAACUCAAUUUUGGCCAUCUUCACACAAGUGUAUAAGCUUUGAACCUUACAGCUUUGCUGAAGGCUCAGAUCAGCAAAGAAUGCCUGCACCAGCCAGAAAACCUGACAGGCACGGGGCUUUUAUAGAUGUUUGAAAAGUAUCUAUAUACAUAGACGUAUUUUUCUAAAUCAUUUGUAGGCAAGUUCCAUGCUCUGUAACCCCUUACCCCUAUAUACUUUGAUAUGUCUUACAUAACCACAGUACAGUUACCAAAUUCAUAAAUUUAUAUUGUAUCUAAUCUAGGUUCAUCUUCCAAUUUUGCCAGUUGAUCUGAUAAUGUCCUUUAUAGUAUUGCUUUCCCCUCCAUCACAAGAUCCAGGCCAGGGUUGAGUAUUGCAUUUAGCUGUCUCAAAAAGUAUGGGUUUUCAAACAUUACUGUUCACUGAAAAGGGACCAAAAUAAACAUCUUAAAGUGUUUCCAUGCUGACAUCGAUGCCUGGAAUUCCCAGGAUGGGCCCUCAUUCUCCACAUUUCCCGGCGCUGCGUAGACAUCCAUGCAUGCCUCUCCCUUCUGGGCAGGGCCCAUUCAGUACCACUUUAUGAUACAAGUUCAUGAACUUGUCACUCCUGUUGUGGCUGUAAAGCUGCAGCUGUCCUCAGUGCAGUUAUCCUGGCUGAGCCAAUCCUGUGGGUAGAUUGUACCUUAGUGCCUUCCCCUGCUACAAAUUCCAAAUGCCCACUGGCCACAUGCUCCCUCUCAGAAGGAUGGAAGCCAGGGUGGAAUACCGCCAUGCAGUGUAUAAAUUACCCUGGAGAACUCAGCCUACAGGGGCAAGGCCAUGUGGCUUUGUGUUCAAGAGCUUCACAAAGGAAUGUACCGCCGUAAUUAGGUGUCAGGACAGGAAACAGUAUUUCAUGUUACUGAGGAGUUCAAUUAUCCAAGCGUGUGCUGGAAGAUUCCUUCAGCUGAAAGUAGAGAAUCUGAUAGACUCUCAUUAUACUUAGUAACAAACUGAUUAAUAUCUGCAUCCUCUGUUGACUCUAAGCAUGGGACAAGGAUAAUCGCGUGUCGUUCCCUAGUGUUAUCCCAGCAGGGGGAGCGCGUGGCACUGAGCAGGCACUCAGUGAAAUAAGGCAUCAGUGGGAAAGAGUAUCAUGCAAAUGAAUUUAUCAGUUGAGCAAAUGAAUGGAGUAAAUGAAUGAUGCGCCCUGGGACCCAGGCACCAUCUCAGACAUUGCCAGCAGCCUUGGCAAAGAAAAAGAGAACGAGAAACAGCACCCUGGAAGUGAAAUGCUCCGACCAGAAGUGGCCCUCAGGUCUGCUCCCUUGGGACGAGGCCCCCUGGAGGCAGGUGGUGCACAUGCACCUGGCAGAGCUGGAAACCAGUGGUCAAUGGCACUGAGGACUGCCUGCCCACACCCUCACCGUGGGCCAGGGAUUGAUCUGCAAUCAUAAUGCAGUCUUAAUGUCUGCCUCAGAACCCCUGGACCCACCCCCACCUCCACCCAACAGAGUUUACCCCUCAGGGUCAGUCUGCAUUUUUAACAGACUUCCCCAGGAUCCACAUGUGCACCAGUAUUCCAAACAUGGGGAUUCUUUGAAUCUUCUAAGCAAGAAAAAUACAGGCCCUCCCACACCCCAGUAGAGAGGUGGGGAGCCUGGCAGCAUUCAAGGAAGUCUUCCCAGUGGUGGCAAUGCCCCAGUGGAGUCCUGGAGCAUCCAAGAUGGAUGCUGGGCCUGGGGCUGGAGGACAUGAGGCAUCAGGGGACUUGACAGGAGAUCAGUCUGGAAAGACCUUCGGCUCAGUCAUUCAGACACAGCACAGCAGGGAUGGCCGCCCACCUCUUCUCUGCCAUGUCUGGUAAUCAGAGCAAUCCCAGGCCCUGUCUGAGGGAUGCUGUGGUCGCUUUAGGAGUAGGCAUGAGGACCAAUUCAGACCAAAGACCAGAGAGUGGAAGGAAGUUCACUGGGGGCUCUAGAAAAGGAGCGUCCUUUCUCUUGUGGGACCCAGGCUAUGAACAAGAAAUCAUGGAGUGCCUGUUGCGCUGGCGGACUUCCUAACUCCAGGGUGAUUGGCUGAGGAGGAAGCUGGCCCUGUGGACCUCAAGGUGGAACAGCAGAGCAAAGGAAUGCACACCUGUGAAGUCAUCUCAGAUCAGCCAACCCUGGGCUUCAAGUCCCAAGAGCUAAUACAUGUCCUCACUAUUUCGGUUUUUUUCCUAUUAUUGUUUUUCCUUGCAGCUUAAAACACCAUGACUAACAUAGUUGUUCACUAUGGCAUAUGGCAUAUACCCGCUAAAGAGGAGCAGCGUCAUGGAGUCACCUUUCUGCACAGAAGUCUCUGGGCCUUUCUGUCAUUAUAGCACAAGUCACUGCAAGUAUUCGUGAAUAAGUUUAUACGUGGGACGCCUACCACAGCAUGGCUGCCAAGCAGUGCCGUGUCCGCACCCGGGAUCCGAACCAGCGAACCCCGGGCCGCCGAGAAGCGGAACGUGCGAACUUAACCGCUGCGCCACCGGGCCGGCCCCAUCACCUGGAAAAUUUGAAAGGAGAUUCCUACUACUUUAAAAGUACAUCUCAUUUCUGGAUCUACUUGCCGUGAAUUAAUAUCUUUUUAUUAAACCUUAUAUUAUCUCAUGAAAAGUGUGAUCAUAUUGCAUUUUUUGCU